Molecule: long non-coding RNA, 1337 nt
Filed under: Daphnia magna
Lineage: Eukaryota; Metazoa; Arthropoda; Branchiopoda; Diplostraca; Daphniidae
Description: uncharacterized LOC116929175, transcript variant X1
Source: RNAcentral
GGGAUUAUUAUUUUUCAGCCGUGGAAGCACUGCGAAGGAGCAAGAAAGUAGCAAAUUUGCCUUGUCUCUGCAAGUGGCCGCCAUUUGAGUAGCACAUGGCCAAGAAACUGAAUUUUGUUUAUUAUAGCUGUAUUUAAAAUGCUAGAGUGAUUAAUAUCACGUAAUCAUUUGAAACAUUAUGUGGAAAACGUUUACAUGAAUCAACUCUUGUUGGAUAGUAGUAAGGGUUCUGUUGAGCUGAGAAACGUUUCUUGGAAACUCGAAAUAAUAAACUAACCUGGUCUCCCAAUGGCAAUCCAUGCUUGCUACAUUUUAAAAAUGUUAACUGAUGUCCCACCAUCUAUGUUGCUUUCAAUGAAAUGGUUGAUAUUCCACAAAGGGUUUACACGUACAGUUUAAGUACUGACAGGUGACAUGUAAAGUUGAAUUUAUGUGGGGUGAUGACACAAACUUAUGGAGAUUUGCUGUCAAAAAGUUGAUCUCUUCAAUGGAAACAAUUUUAAAACUUUCUGCUACCAGUGUAUUUUUGUUCCUCUACCUGUGAAGGAACAACUGAACUUGAUGUUGCUGUUGUGAUGGAUCUGAUUAUUGAAUCUUUUCAAUGCCAGAGUAUUUUCCUCUUCUCAUUAAGAAAUAACCUAACUUAAUAUUGCAUUGUAGUGGGUUUGGAUUAUUGAUGUAUUUUAUUGUGGCAAAAGGUAAUGUUAUUGUUUGUCUGAGUUCGAAAAAUGGGAAGCGUCACCAACGAUCUGAUCGCUAUCAUUUUCGGUACGGAACUUUAAAAAACCUGUGCUGGUUAAUUUUUGGUUGAAUAUUUUACGUCGAAGACACCUAAAGGAUUGAGGUCUCGCGGUUACGCUAAAAACUGAGAUACGUCCGUGGCAGUGGUUGAAAGCGAGCAACUCGGACGCAUCCAGUUGGCUUCUAGCCCGUUUGUUUCGUGGAUCAUUCGUGUCUAUUAAGGAUUUAGACAAAGAGGACUCACUGCUGGCGGAUAUCAUAACAAUUUUGAAACAUUCAUUAUGAUUCCUCAACUGCAUCUGAUUGUCAGCGUUGUGGAUGAAAUCGUCAUUUCGUUAAACCAGCACAGUGUUUUUGAGCCAAAGGUCACCGGUUUUUCCGUUUAUCCGUUACUUAAAUUUACGGGAUCUGAUUUCAUCGAUCAUGCUUCUUUUUUUCUCUCAGAAGAUAAAGUCUGGUAAAAUCUCCCUAUACCAACAGUUGAGAGAUGAGUCAACACUCUCAAAUGGAUCAUGGUGAUAUUGUAUUGUUCCGAAAACUUUUGAAAUGGGUCACGAAGGAUAUUUAAGUCUGCGCAUGUACAGCGCUCAGGCAAU